This 463-nucleotide ribosomal RNA is filed under the name uncultured bacterium. RNAcentral describes it as "partial 16S ribosomal RNA". It matches the Rfam family "Bacterial small subunit ribosomal RNA", at positions 339 to 795 of the family's 1533-position model. The record is from RNAcentral.
CUACGGGCGGCAGCAGUGGGGAAUAUUGCACAAUGGGCGCAAGCCUGAUGCAGCCAUGCCGCGUGUAUGAAGAAGGCCUUCGGGUUGUAAAGUACUUUCAGCGGGGAGGAAGGGAGUAAAGUUAAUACCUUUGCUCAUUGACGUUACCCGCAGAAGAAGCACCGGCAACUGCGUGCCAGCAGCCGCGGUAAUACGGAGGGUGCAAGCGUUAAUCGGAAUUACUGGGCGUAAAGCGCACGCAGGCGGUUUGUUAAGUCAGAUGUGAAAUCCCCGGGCUCAACCUGGGAACUGCAUCUGAUACUGGCAAGCUUGAGUCUCGUAGAGGGGGGUAGAAUUCCAGGUGUAGCGGUGAAAUGCGUAGAGAUCUGGAGGAAUACCGGUGGCGAAGGCGGCCCCCUGGACGAAGACUGACGCUCAGGUGCGAAAGCGUGGGGAGCAAACAGGAUUAGAUACCCGCGUAGUC